RNAcentral lists this ribosomal RNA (441 nucleotides) under uncultured bacterium. RNAcentral describes it as "partial 16S ribosomal RNA". It matches the Rfam family "Bacterial small subunit ribosomal RNA", at positions 338 to 795 of the family's 1533-position model. The record is from RNAcentral.
CCUACGAGAGGCAGCAGUGGGGAAUAUUGCUCAAUGGGGGCAACCCUGACGCAGCAACGCCGCGUGAUUUAAGAAGGCCUUCGGGUUGUAAAGAUCUUUAAUCGGGGACGAAUUCUGACUGUACCCUAAGAAUAAGCUCCGGCUAACUACGUUCCAGCAGCCGCGGUAAUACGUAGGAAGCAAGCGUUAGCCGGAUUUACUGGUUGUAAAGGGAGUGUAGGCGGGCAUGCAAGCAAGAAGUUAAAUCUGGGGGCUUAACCCCCAAACUGCUUUUGGAACUGCGUGUCUUGAGUGAUGGAGAGGCAGGCGGAAUUCCCAGUGUAGCGGUGAAAUGCGUAGAUAGUGGGAGGAACACCAGUGGCGAAGGCGGCCUGCUGGACAUUAACUGACGCUGAGGCGCGAAAGCGUGGGGAGCAAACAGGAUUAGAUACCCCUGUAGUC